This 311-nucleotide long non-coding RNA is filed under the name Panax ginseng (ginseng). RNAcentral describes it as "long non-coding RNA (PGIN_LNC000909)". The record is from RNAcentral. Lineage: Eukaryota; Viridiplantae; Streptophyta; Magnoliopsida; Apiales; Araliaceae.
ACCUAUAAGUGGAACCCAACUAAAUACUAGAGUAACAUCUAGUAUAUUACUUCAAUGGAAAAAUAUUUAUAGUAAUAACCAGUUGUGUAUGUUUGUAUGGAAAACAAAGAGAGUAAGGUAAACCUUUAAUGAAUCUAUGUCCAGUUUGGAAGAUACAGGUCGUACAAGUGCAUCUGAUUAGAUUCACCUAUGUAAUUGAAGGAAGUGGGACCGCUUCUGCGAGACAUAAGGCUUGUCUCUAAGUCGCUUGUAAAACCCAAGAGGUAAACACGAGGCCAUAAAUGUGUUGGGUUUCCUUAAAUUAUAAGGAU